Molecule: long non-coding RNA, 8648 nt
Filed under: Lactuca sativa (garden lettuce)
Lineage: Eukaryota; Viridiplantae; Streptophyta; Magnoliopsida; Asterales; Asteraceae
Description: long non-coding RNA (LSAT_LNC004604)
Source: RNAcentral
GGAAAUAAUGUUUUGUGUAUUGAUUCUACUAAUAAUAACUUGGAUAAAGCAUCUUUAUGGCAUUGUCGUCUUGGACAUAUAAGCAAGAAACGCAUAGGCCAACUCCAAAAGGAUGGAGUCUUGGAGUCGUUUGACCUAAAGUCAGAUGAUAGUUGCGAAUCAUGCUUACUUGGAAAAAUGACAAAGUCACCCUUCACAGGUUCGUGUGAGAGGGGUGAAGGUUUGUUGGACCUUAUACACACGGAUGUGUGUGGACCAUUCAAACAUGCCACAAGGGAUGCUAAUCGUUAUUAUUUGACUUUUACUGAUGAUUAUAGUAGAUAUGGAUAUGUCUACUUGAUCAAGCAUAAGUCAGAGACUUUCGAGAGGUUUAAGGAAUUUAAACAGGAAGUCGAGAAUCAAUUGGGCAGGAACAUUAAGAUGCUUCGAUCCGAUCGUGGUGGUGAGUAUCUUAGUUCAGAGUUCCUCGACUAUCUAAGGGAAUGUGGGAUAGUCUCACAAUUGACACCUCCCAGGACACCACAGUUGAAUGGUGUGGCUGAGAGGCGUAAUCGAACCUUGUUAGAUAUGGUUCGUUCCAUGAUGAGUCGAGCUACGCUACCAAUCUCAUUCUGGGGGUAUGCCUUAGAGACUGCCGCCCAUAUUCUUAAUCUAGUCCCUACAAAGAAAGUUGCCAAAACUCCUCACGAGAUGUGGACUGGUAAAGUACCUAAACUAGACCACAUCAAGAUUUGGGGUUGCGAGGCUUUCGUGAGACGCGAGACUCAUGAUAAGCUCGAACCUCGAAGCGAGAGGUGUAUUUUCAUCGGUUACCCACAGCGAUCCUUUGGUUACCUCUUCUACAGACCUAGUGACAAUGUGGUCUUUGUAGCAAGAAGAGGAGUCUUUCGAGAAAGAGAGUUUAUAAGCCAAGGAGACAGUGGGAGGCAAAUUGAUCUUGAAGAAAUUCAAGAAUCAAGCGGUGAAGGAACUUCAAACUCUAGCCCUCAACUUGAGGAGGAAACUCCUGUUGAGCCAAUUGACAAAUCUGUACCUCUGAGACGUUCCACGAGAGUUAGGAGUGCACCUGAGCAUUACUAUGGAUUCCAUAUUACUGCAGAAGGUGAGACACUUAUUAGUGAUGAGACACUAGUAAGUCAAGAUGACCCUAACAGCUACGAGGAAGCCAUGGCAGGCCCCGAGUCUGCUAAAUGGAAAGAGGCUAUGGAUAGCGAGAUACAAUCCAUGUAUGACAAUCAAGUUUGGAACUUGGUUGAAAAUGUACCAGGUCGUAAGACAGUAGGGUGCAAAUGGGUCUUCAAGAAGAAGACCGACAUGGAUGGUAAAGUACACACUUAUAAGGCUAGACUGGUUGCAAAGGGCUUCUCUCAAAUUCCUGGAGUGGAUUAUGAUGAGACCUUUUCUCCGGUAGCCAAGAUUAAGUCUAUUCGGGUUCUGUUAGCCAUAGCUGCAUUUCAUGACUAUGAAAUAUGGCAGAUGGAUGUCAAAACCGCUUUCCUUAAUGGAAAGUUGGCUGAAGAUGUUUACAUGAGUCAGCCAGAGGGUUUUGUCAGCAACGAGUACCCUAAUAGAGUGUGUAAGCUUGAGAAAUCCAUUUAUGGAUUGAAGCAAGCACCUCGCAGAUGGAAUCUUUGCUUUGAUGAAAAGGUCAAGGAAUUUGGCUUUUCUAGGAGUGAAGAUGAAUCUUGUGUGUAUGUCAAGGCUAGUGGGAGUAUAGUUAGCUUUUUGGUAUUGUAUGUGGAUGACAUACUACUCAUAGGAAACGACAUUCCAACCCUGCAGGAAGUAAAGUCCUGGCUUGGGAAGUGUUUCGCUAUGAAGGACCUUGGUGAAGCUGCCUAUAUUCUAGGGAUAAGAAUCUUGAGAGAUCGGAGUAAAAGACUAAUUGGACUUAGUCAGAGUACCUACUUGGAUAAGGUGCUGAAGAGAUUCAGCAUGCAGGAUUCCAAGAAAGGAGAGUUACCCAUCCAGAGUAACACCAGAUUGAGUAAGACACAAAGCCCUAGCACUGAGGCUGAGAUAGCAGAAAUGAGUCGAACACCUUACGCUUCGGCUGUAGGAUCGAUCAUGUAUGCUAUGACGUGUACUCGACCCGAUGUAGCUUUUGCCUUGAGCAUGGUUAGCAGGUAUCAGGCGAACCCUGGCAAGGCACACUGGACUGCGGUAAAGAAUAUCCUCAAGUACCUACGGAGGACUAAGGACUGGGUCCUUACCCUCGGUGGGAGUGAUGACUUGAGAGUUGUAGGGUAUAGUGAUGCUAGCUUCCAGACUGAUAGGGAUAAUUUCCGCUCUCAGUCGGGCUGGGUCUUUACCCUAAACGGAGGAGCAAUUUCUUGGAAGAGUUCCAAGCAAGAGACAGUGGCAGAUUCUACUUGUGAAUCAGAGUAUAUUGCAGCUAGCGAAGCAGCAAAGGAGGCGAUAUGGCUGAAGAACUUCAUUGGAGACCUUGGAGUUGUACCAGCUAUUAAAGAGCCAAUGGAAAUUUUCUGUGAUAGUGAAAGUGCUGUUGCCUUAGCCAAGGAACCAAGGGAUCAUGGGAGAUCCAGACACAUCGACAGAAAAUACCAUUUCAUUAGACAUCGGAUCGAAGAAGGACUCCUCGUGGCAAAGAGGGUAUCAUCGGAUGAGAACCCAGCAGAUCCCCUCACGAAGGGACUGAGUAGGGUUAAGCAUCUCCAGCAUGCUCGGAGCAUAGGGCUGAAGGAUGAUAUAAGUUUUAGUAGUUAGAUAACCCAGAAAUUUGUAAAGUGUAAUUGACAUUUGAUGAUGAAUAAAAGGUGUUUUAUUUAUGAGUAAAGUGUUGCUAUCUCUUGUCAAUCGUUUACUAUAUUUCUUUUGCAUGUUUUGACUUCCAGAAUAAUUUUGUUUGGUGUAACAUAUUAUUCAAACCUCCACAGUCGGUCAUAUGUCGGAAGUAGGUAUGAAUCAAGACUGUCAUGAUGGGUUGUAGAGGUCUAAGGUGUUGGACAAGGCUACAACAAUCAUGAGUGCUCAUAAGUUCUGAGCAUUGGACUCAACCCACGCUCACUGGAAUCACUUCAUGGAAUUCUAUCUCGAGUGAUCGUGAGACGGUAAUAUCAUAUAAGUCUUCAAACCUAGAGAUAUGAUUUGUUACUUACAAGUUGGUUAUGCAUUGACUGUACGAAACCGCAUUGGUAACUCGAUGUUAUAAAACGUACUUUUGUGUGUAAUUCAAUGAGUGGUAGAACAAACAUAUGAGUCGAAGUUUAUCUGUUCCUUCUUGGAUUAGAAGCUGAUAUCUGGGCCCCUCGAUGAUUUUGUUUUGACCCAUGUACCGGGCCCGGUCAGAACUAAGUUGAUGUGUUCAAUUAAGUUCUAUGUCAAACAAAUCGGAAAUCGGGAAACAAAUGCUGGACAAUAAGCAAGACAAUGUUCCAUGUAUUUGUCCGGCUGAUAUCUAGAACGGAGGAUUAUAUGAUCACUUAUCUUAAAUGGCGUACCAUCAUCUUCUCAGUUCCGAGAGACCUUGAAAGAGCUACGAUUGCCGGUCGGUUCCUGAAGUACUAGAGAUAUAGUUAUUAGACUUAUCCAAGUGGGAGACUGUUGGAUAAGGUGUCUAAGUCCAUAACUAUUUCGGGCUUGUACUUGACCCGACCCGGCAUGGUCCAUUUGGGUUGCAUGGCACCAUGCAAUUGGAUAGACUAAAUGAGAGAAAUAACACUUGGAGAUUAUUAAUAUAUUAUAAGUUCUAAUAUAUUAAUAAUAUUAUUUGAUUAGUUGAUCAAAGAAUUAAUUUGGAAUUAAUUAAGUGAUCAAAGGAUAACUAAUUAAAUAUAUGGGUUGAUUAUGUAAAUCAUCCAUAUCUUGUAUAGUGGGCUAAGAGGCUCCAUGGAUUAUCAAGUUGGGUUCUACCCAUAGGAUGCUCCAUGGAUGCUCCAUGGGAGUUACAAACCCAUGGGUCAUGGAAAUGAAGAGUCAUGACACAUUAGGGUUUACAUGGUGUAACCCUAGAUGUGUCAACACUAUAUAAGAAUCAUAUUCUCCACCAAAAUCGGCUACACUAAGAAACUAGAGGGCUUGGCCGAUUUUGAGAAGUGUGUGUUAUCUCAAGAGUCUUUCCAAGAGCAUUUGGUGUUGUGUGAAGCAUUUGAGGCAUCACACUUGGGGUGCUAGGCUCACAAGGUUUCAAGGAACACAAGCAACAACAAGGUAAGUUAUUCUAUCUAUGAUUCAAGUUAAAAUUGUUCCCCAUGUAUGCUAGAUAGGAAUAUAACCUUGGAAUUCAACUUUGCAUGAUAAUUAGACAAACAUAGAUCCAAGGUUAUUAGGGUUGCAUGUACACUUAGGAAGUGUUAGAAUGCUCAAAACCCAUCAGUGGUAUCAGAGCCUAGGCUUGUUUGUUUGUUAUUUGUGCUUAAAAGUUGAAGAAAGUCGAAAAUCUUGCUGUCUGACUGAUGGACUCGGCGAGUCCAUGGGGAGGACUCGUCGAGUUCAUGUGUAUCUUCAACCUACUCGGCGAGUAGGUUUAUGCACUCGGCGAGUAGGGUCGACAGAGUGCAGAAUUUCGACUUGAGUUGCUGGAAAUGGAUUAGAAUCAUUACCCUAAAAUGUUUUGGUACUUGAAAACUUAUUUUAGAAGGUGUAAUGUCUUUUCUAACUCAUUUACAACAACUAGUUAUCAAAAUUACAAAGAUUAAAUGUGAUUUUGAUUCUUGAAAGUGUUCAUAUUCAUAUUCUUGUUCUUAUGAUGUUUAGAUGAUCAUAGGAAUUAUUUGUAACCUAUGUGGUAGAUUAAUUCAUGAUCAUAAUGUGUUUUAAUGGAGUCCAUAACUUGUCCUCAAGUUAUGGAAAACCAAAAGUCUCUUGGAUUAAAAACCAUUAAAAGAACACAAGAGUUAGGAAAAAUGAAAAGUCCUCAUUUUAUUACUCUAUUAAACUCAUAAGUUACAAGAAAUGAAAAGUUUUGAAAGUUUACAAAACUUGCCCUCAAGUUUUGGAACAAGUAAAGUUAAGUUAAAACUUUAGUUCCAACCCCUAGAAUUUUAAAAGUUAAAAUUCAACCCUUAUACUUAUAUUAUUAUGAUUUAAUAAUUAUAUAUAUAUGUAUAAGAACAAAGUCGUCUUACCGCUAGUACGCCUCAUUCACGAAGCCGGUCUAUAAGGUGGGUAUAAGGUUGUUGCCUAUAAAAUGGUGACUUAAUGGGUGUCCACUCUCACCCACCGCUUGCUUGAUCGGUGGAGGGUCGUUAGCCGAACGGGUAAGACAAGGACUUAUUAAUUCUCAUUCAAAGUAUGAUGAAUAUUAUAAAGUAACUAAAUGUUUUAUUAAAUUCCCAAUCUUAGUUACUUUAGGAAAAAUGUGAAUAAGGUGCUAUUCCAUGAAAUUACACUUUACACUUUGAUUAAGUCGUUGGUGGAGCGUGUGUGGUUAACCGGCACACUAACUUGGACUUAACAAGGUAGGUAAAGGGUGACUUAGGGUUUAUUAUAGUAUCGAUGGAGCGUGUGUGGUUAACCGGCACAUCGAUUGAGUGAUAAACUUUAAGGGUACCAAGUGAUUUGCAUGGUUACUUCACACCUCGUUUUGUGAUCCUCGGUAUCCCAGUCACAAAACUUGGAGGGCACACUCGAGAUUGAAACAUGCCUUUGAAAAGUUCAUUGAAUCUCAAAGAAUCUAGGAAUUUCUAAGAACCAUUCAAAAACCUAAUACUAAAAUAUUGCGGUUUUCGUGGUGGAAAUUGGUGAAUCGUCAUUCACCUACCUUUCAAAUAUGAUAUAGCUUAGAUUACGGCAUACCUCUUCUAAGUUAUAUUAUAUUGUGAUUGGAUCCUAGCCUUAAUAUUACAUUUGGGUGUUUUAUUAAGGACUCUCUUAUAUCUAAACUAAUCUUGUCCUCUUUCCUUCAGAUGUCUUUCAACAAUGCUUCUGGCUCUAAUCCUAAUGGCUCCUUUACCCUUAUGAACUUGUGUGGGAAAGUCACCUUUGAUGGAUCCAACUUCAAUGAGUGGAUCAGAAACAUCAGGAUGAUUACCCGCUACGAGGACAAAGAAUAUGUCCUUGACAAGGAGCUUAAGGAGAUUGAUGAGUCCACUGCAACUCCUCAGGAGAUCGCUGAAUUUCGGGCACAUGAAAGGGAUGCUACGAAAGUGGCUUGCAUCAUGAUGGCCACGAUGACAGCGGAACUCCAAAAGUCUUAUGAGGAUUUCUACCCUUAUGAAAUGCACCAAGAUUUGAUGGAAAGAUACCAUCAAAGUGCAAGACAAGAGAGGUAUGAAAUCAUCUGCUCCAUGAUAACAACCAUGAUGAAGGACGGGGAAUCCGUCACGAGCCACAUGCAGAAAAUGCAAAGGUAUGUGGAUCGUUUGCUGAAGCUUAAUGUGAACUUCCCGGAGGAUCUUGCAAUAGAUAUUAUUUUGCAUUCCUUACCAUCGUGCUAUGAUCAAUUCCGCAUGACAUAUCACAUGAACAAGGAAGAAGUCACCCUCAGCAAACUUCAGGGACUUCUCAAGACCGCAGAAUCAGGUCUUAAGGGGAAGUCGGUUGCUAUCACUCCUACUCAAAACUCUACUCCGGUUUUGGCAAUCGGGAAAAGUCGAGGGAGGAAGAGAAAGAGCUCUUCUAAGGGUACCAAGGUUCGGACCCUUGAUGGCUCUUCUUCAAGUGGAACCAAGAAAGGUUUCAUUACUCCUUCUUCUGACCCAAAAGAGGCUGAAUGCUUCUAUUGCCAUGAAAAAGCUCAUUGGAAGCGGAACUGCCCAAAAUACCAGCAAGAUGUGAAGGAUGGGAAAGUUAAACCCAACCAUGCAGGUAUUUACACUAUCAUUUCUAAUAACUCACCCCAUUCUAAUUCUUGGGUCCUUGAUACCGGGUGUGGUAUUCACAUUUGUUGUGACUUGCAGGGACUAAGAAGAAGUGAGGAUGUGGAGCAAGGAAGGAUAAACUUGAUCAUGGGGAAUAGGAAAGCUAUACCUGUUACCAAGAUUGGAGUUUAUACUUUAUCGCUAAGUAGUGGGUUUAGUUUAGAUUUGAAUAAGUGUUGUUAUUCGCCAGGAAUGGCAAGAAAUAUUAUUUCCUUUCAUGCUUUGUACAAACAAGGGUUUACCUUUUCAUUUAAUAAUGAAGUUGGUUCUAUAGAUGUUUUCUAUAAUAAUGUCUUUUAUUUUAAAGCAUUACCUUGUGAUGGUGUGUAUGAAGCUGUAUCUGUUGUAGAUAACUUGGGAAAUAAUGUUUUGUGUAUUGAUUCUACUAAUAAUAACUUGGAUAAAGCAUCUUUAUGGCAUUGUCGUCUUGGACAUAUAAGCAAGAAACGCAUAGGCCAACUCCAAAAGGAUGGAGUCUUGGAGUCGUUUGACCUAAAGUCAGAUGAUAGUUGCGAAUCAUGCUUACUUGGAAAAAUGACAAAGUCACCCUUCACAGGUUCGUGUGAGAGGGGUGAAGGUUUGUUGGACCUUAUACACACGGAUGUGUGUGGACCAUUCAAACAUGCCACAAGGGAUGCUAAUCGUUAUUAUUUGACUUUUACUGAUGAUUAUAGUAGAUAUGGAUAUGUCUACUUGAUCAAGCAUAAGUCAGAGACUUUCGAGAGGUUUAAGGAAUUUAAACAGGAAGUCGAGAAUCAAUUGGGCAGGAAUAUUAAGAUGCUUCGAUCCGAUCGUGGUGGUGAGUAUCUUAGUUCAGAGUUCCUCGACUAUCUAAGGGAAUGUGGGAUAGUCUCACAAUUGACACCUCCCAGGACACCACAGUUGAAUGGUGUGGCUGAGAGGCGUAAUCGAACCUUGUUGGAUAUGGUUCGUUCCAUGAUGAGUCGAGCUACGCUACCAAUCUCAUUCUGGGGGUAUGCCUUAGAGACUGCCGCCCAUAUUCUUAAUCUAGUCCCUACAAAGAAAGUUGCCAAAACUCCUCACGAGAUGUGGACUGGUAAAGUACCUAAACUAGACCACAUCAAGAUUUGGGGUUGCGAGUCUUUCGUGAGACGCGAGACUCAUGAUAAGCUCGAACCUCGAAGCGAGAGGUGUAUUUUCAUCAGUUACCCACAGCGAUCCUUUGGUUACCUCUUCUACAGACCUAGUGACAAUGUGGUCUUUGUAGCAAGAAGAGGAGUCUUUUGAGAAAGAGAGUUUAUAAGCCAAGGAGACAGUGGGAGACAAAUUGAUCUUGAAGAAAUUCAAGAAUCAAGCGGUGAAGGAACUUCAAACUCUAGCCUUGGUUUGAGUAAAUUUGAGGAACACUCGUGUGAAUCGUCUCAAGCUAAGGAAAAAGAUUUUUGAAAUGAUUUCUAAAUGGUUUUCAAAAUAAGUAAAUGAGGGUGUGAAGUGUACGAUUAGCCAGAGCCAGUAAGUUUACCCCAAAAUACCAUGCAGUUUUGAUUAUGUGAUAUGUUAGAACAACAUGCUAGUGAUAAGAUAGGGAUCCUCAGGAACCAUAUGAUAGAAUUGCCUGAUCUUUGAUGCCAUAACUUAUGUAGAGUACCUCAUUGAUUGUUGUAUGACUCUUUCGCGUGUGAACUAACUAUUCGGUGAAUACUCCAAAUCACAUGCUACAUGGGUUAAAUUGUCUUAGGGUAAGGGAUUUGGUCUUGCUGCACAGCUCUUGUCUGAGUCCAACGGUUGUGGGAUUAAAUCUUUUAGUCUAAGAUUGGUUAAUGCAUGCGGUAUGUGAUUGUAUUCAUGCAAUAGUAAACUGGCACC